RNAcentral lists this long non-coding RNA (1133 nucleotides) under Felis catus (domestic cat). RNAcentral's name for it is "lncRNA (ENSFCAG00000045884.2)". Lineage: Eukaryota; Metazoa; Chordata; Mammalia; Carnivora; Felidae. The record is from RNAcentral.
CUCCCUAACUCCAGCUUAUGCGGUUAAUUAGAUUUGGAUGGUUUCAGAGGAGCAGCUGGAGUUUUCAGAAAAUGGGAACCAUAAAAAGGGACUAUUCAAGGCUAGAGAAGCUCUUUUUUGGACCAGGAAACCGAGCCCCUAUCAUUUCAUCAGUUGGAGAGAGGCCCUCCCCAGUGGUUGGUGGUCAGAUAGGAGAAACCUGUGCCAGGACACUCUGCAGCAUUCGGAGACACAGACAGAAGGAGCUGGAAACGUCUCGCCAUAAUUGGCUCUCUCUAGGCUGCUGCCUUGUUGUGAGGAGAGGUGGUACUCCCUCCUCUGCACAGUGAUUGCUGGCCCAAAAUAGCCCUGCACCUGCUCUGAGAUGCCUGCAAGAUAAUUUCAGCUUCCAAGGAAACUGCCCUGAUUGGUGUUGAUUUUUCAUGACCUCCCUUCAGGCAAACACCUGGAGAUAAGCACCUGAUCACAGAGGUGCACCCUGGAGAGUUGAAGGCACAGAGGUAUGCAGCCUGGGUGCUCCUUAUCUCCUACCAGGGAAGGGAGGAUCAGGUUCUGGGUGCCUCUCACCCCACGGGUAUUGGAACCAAAAGGUUGGGCACUAACUGGCCAAUGCAGAGGGCAGGGAAAAGGGCAGGGGGGUAGUGUGGGGACUAGGAGCCUGAGCCAUCACCCUGGGGAGCCACUUUGGAAGCAAUGCUUGAAGUGGGCCGACUCUGAUCUCUGAUUUACAGUCUGACUAUGACCUAUCUUCCCAGCUUAUCUCCCACCUCUGCAUACUCUUCCUCUUCAGCUCAAACCAGCUCUAUGGAAAGAUCUUCCUUUAGCUCAUGCCUGAAAUUCUGGUUUGCUCACCUAACCAAAUACUUCCCUUUCAGCUCAAACAUCACUUUUUCCUCGGACCUAACUGUGGCCUUCUGUGUAUAAAAAAAAUCCAGGGCACUUGGGAGAAAUACAAAUAACUGCUUGAAAACUGGGAGGGAUCACACACAGAUGAGUGAAUUGGCAUCAUAUUUAAGGCAUAUUAUUGAUGCCUGCCUGCUAUACUUAAGACACUGUCAUGAGUGACUGCAUACAUAGUCUCUCAUCUGAUUCUCUCCAGAACUCUACAUGGUAUCCUUGUGUCCACUUUUCAG